Long non-coding RNA from Esox lucius (northern pike), 2007 nucleotides. The record is from Ensembl. Lineage: Eukaryota; Metazoa; Chordata; Actinopteri; Esociformes; Esocidae.
AUUCACUGGACCCAAAUUGCUGGAAACAGAAUCAAGCUCCAAGAUUCUUGUCAGCAUAAUGGAUCCAUCUCUUUGGAUCCUGGCCUGGUGGCAACAAACUGCAGGCAGUUUCAUUUGGUGCUCACAGAUGUUCUGAAGACGGAACAAGGACAGGCCUACCUAGACAGGAAGAGGCGUAGCCAGAUGGCAGGAAAUGGAGAAAGGAGGAGAGAAUCCCGUCUGGGGACUGGACAAAGGAGGAUUCCUCAGAGCAGCAAAGAGGCCAAGGAGGAUGGUUCUACACCCGUCUCCACCCGCAGGGAGAGGAGGUCCCAUCACACGAAGAGGUCUGAGGAUGAAGCAGAGAAGGAACUGAUAAUAGGAGAGGAGACCAGUGACCACCUGAGAUCCAGUGAAGAUGUUGUUAUUUCCCAGAGACGUAGGUCCGAGCUGACCUUCACUAAGGCCGACUGGCACCAGGAGAAGCCUUACCCACUAUUCACACGGACCAGGAAGUCCAAUUCAGAUUCAUGUGAAUCCACACACGCUGAGAGGGAGGAUCGGGGGCAGGAGCUGGGGUUCUUCUGUAAUGGAUGGAUGAAGGAUGGAUUAUCGGAGGGCCUGACCACAGCCACUACCAGGAACCCCAGAGGGAGUGUGCUGCGCCUGUCCAGGGAGUCCCCAGAUGACGGAGGACAGUUCUCAAAACGCCUCCGUCAGGAGGGGGCGGGGCACAGAGACAGUGUAGCGUCCGUGGAGGUGGAGCCGGUUGACGUUGAUGAGACAUUGAUGGUAGUCUCUGUUGGGGAGGACGAGGACAUUGGUGGGAGGGAGAGGGGAGGAACCAUCCAGUUGAACCUCUGCUCCUCCGGCCGGGAAACAAGCAAACUCAGCCCUGCUGAACCCAUUGUUCUCUCCAGUGAUGAGGAGGAGGUCGUGAACCCGAUCCGCAGUUCAGUCCUACGGCCACAGAGUGGCGCUAGUGAGUGUGAUCCCCAGAGAAGCCAUGCCCAGGAAGAAAACAUGGAGGCAGAGAGGGACUCUCAGGUGGUACCAGUGAUGGUGACAGGGUUUGGAGUGGCCCAGUUCUCCAGCUCAGAGGACUCCCAGAUGGGCUUGUCUUUCUCCAACCUGCACUGUGGAGGCAUCUGGAGAGAGUCUGGUGGGAACCUCAGUAUCACAAACCAAAGAAUCAUCCUACCAGUUAAAGAGCCCAGGAGCCAGGUGGAGGUGCUGGUGACAGUUGAGCGUUGUCAGCUGUGGAGGUACAGCAUCUGGGACAAGGAGGAUCUCCAGGAGAGAGGACUGGGGUGGGAGUCGGAGGUUGGGGGGGCUCCUUGUGCCUUCCUCCUGCUGUACGUCUCUGAUGUCCAGGCGGUGGCUGUUCAGGAAGACCUGCAUGAGCCGUCAAUCAAACAGGCCUUAGACCCUCCCACUGGGCAGGCCAGCCCCUUCCUCCUGUUGACUCUGAGUGCCCCCCUGGAGGGGGUGGAGGGAGCCCUCCUCCGAUCCGUUCUCGACAUCAUCUGUCUCAACAACACCCCGCAUGUCAACGCCGCACGUCUCCGUGGCAACGCUCCCAUCAACGGGGCAGUGGACCUCCACAACCCCCUCCUGUCACUGGAUGACAGUCUGGUGCUGAUCAGAAGAACCGGACUGGACCCUCAGCUACUCUCCCUCCUGGGCCAGAACUGGGCUGGGACUGACCAGGACCAAGAACCUGGAGUAGAGGACCAAGACAAUACUGGGCCAGAGUUAGAAACUGUAGACAGGAUGGGGGAGUCACUAAUAUCUACAGAGACUGACCCACAGACCGACCCACAGACCGAGGAGGGGCACAUGGCGGCAGAGAUUCUACCCCUCCCUGAGGACAGUCCAUCCCAUCCCAGAGCUGUGUACACUGUGUGUCAUCGCAGAACCAAAGACUCCUACUUCGUGUCCCUGGGCCCCAGGCCGGGCUCAACCUGGACCCGCUACACACACCAGGGCCCCCCCCGCAGGCAAGCCACCCAGCUCAUGAUCUGUUGA